RNAcentral lists this ribosomal RNA (279 nucleotides) under uncultured Burkholderiales bacterium. RNAcentral's name for it is "partial 16S ribosomal RNA". It matches the Rfam family "Bacterial small subunit ribosomal RNA", at positions 524 to 802 of the family's 1533-position model. Lineage: Bacteria; Pseudomonadati; Pseudomonadota; Betaproteobacteria; Burkholderiales. The record is from RNAcentral.
UACGUAGGGUGCAAGCGUUAAUCGGAAUUACUGGGCGUAAAGCGUGCGCAGGCGGUUAUGCAAGACAGAGGUGAAAUCCCCGGGCUCAACCUGGGAACUGCCUUUGUGACUGCAUGGCUAGAGUACGGUAGAGGGGGAUGGAAUUCCGCGUGUAGCAGUGAAAUGCGUAGAUAUGCGGAGGAACACCGAUGGCGAAGGCAAUCCCCUGGACCUGUACUGACGCUCAUGCACGAAAGCGUGGGGAGCAAACAGGAUUAGAUACCCUGGUAGUCAAGGGCG